RNAcentral lists this ribosomal RNA (501 nucleotides) under uncultured bacterium. Its description in RNAcentral is "bacterial SSU rRNA". It matches the Rfam family "Bacterial small subunit ribosomal RNA", at positions 8 to 472 of the family's 1533-position model. The record is from RNAcentral.
AGAGUUUGAUCCUGGCUCAGAUUCAACGCUGGCGGUAUGCUUAACACAUGCAAGUCGAACGGUAACAGUCCCUCACCUAGAAAUUUCUUAAAAAGAGAUUUGUAGGUGAGGGAGCUGACGAGUGGCGGACGGGUGCGUAAUGUAUAGGAAUCUGCCUAGUAGUGGGGGACAACUCGGAGAAAUUCGAGCUAAUACCGCAUAAGCCCUACGGGGGAAAACGGGGGAUCUUCGGACCUCGUCCUAUUAGAUGAGCCUAUAUUAGAUUAGCUUGUUGGUGAGGUAAUGGCUCACCAAGGCGACGAUCUAUAGCUGGUCUGAGAGGAUGAUCAGCCACACUGGGACUGAGACACGGCCCAGACUCCUACGGGAGGCAGCAGUGGGGAAUAUUGGACAAUGGGCGAAAGCCUGAUCCAGCAAUACCGCGUGUGUGAAGAAAGCCUGAGGGUUGUAAAGCACUUUCAAUUGGGAGGAAUACCUAAUAGUUAAUAGCUAUUAGAUUGA